AACCCACCAGCUAACCGUGGCUUCCGGAAUGAGCCAGGAACCUGUCUCGGCUUGAGACAGUGCCCAGAUCACACGUCCAUGCUCUUGGCAAGCAGCUGUUGGAGUCAACAACCUCAGUCACAGCACUGACAUUCUAGACUCCAGCUUCGCUAUGGUAACGUCUGUGAGGUCUCCAGUCUAUCUGUCAUCCUCCCAACCCAAUCCAUCCCUGCACGGAAGAACAGAGACCUGAUUCAGUCCAAGACUGUCACACGUAUGCCAAAGUCAUUGAAGAAUGGCUGGCCAUAUCCACUCAGCUAGUGGAUUCCUGACUGCAGCCUAUAAAAGGGGCAAAGCACCCGUUCGCUACUGGACCUCUUCUCUCUUCCCCUACCUGCAGAACUACUGGAUAUCUUCCUUCUUCUGUGCCUUCCUUGCCAGGAGAGACUGAGUGCUUUAAAACCAUGUUCAAAACGAAGUCCUUGUUUCUGUUGGUGGGGGGCGGGGGUCACAGUGAUACAAUGUAACCAGUACAGUCAGGAUAGCAGACAUACUUUCGGGAGAAAUAAUCAGAGCCAAGACAUUUACCUC
RNAcentral lists this long non-coding RNA (570 nucleotides) under Rattus norvegicus (Norway rat). RNAcentral describes it as "long non-coding RNA NONRATT010495". The record is from RNAcentral. Lineage: Eukaryota; Metazoa; Chordata; Mammalia; Rodentia; Muridae.